UGAUAUUGAAAUGGAUCUUGUAUACGACUGGUCUAUUUUUUGAAUUUAUCUGACUUGUAGGAUACAAUCUAUCGGAGAGAUUUUACGGAAUACUUAUCAGAAAGUUCGAUAGAACUGGCAGUGGAGAUAUUCGCUUUGAUGAUUUCAUUCAGUGUUGUGUUGUUCUUCAGACUUUGACCAACGCUUUCAAACAACGCGAUCAUAACUUCAAUGGAUGGAUAACCGUCAGCUACGAACAAUUUUUAGCAAUGGUGUUUAGUUGCAAGACGAAGUAGAUAUAUCAUCUGCAAUACUGCCGAACAUUGACGUACCUUAUGCUAUUUUAUGUAUUUUAUAUAUAUGCACAAAUUCACAACAAAUAUUUUAACAAUAGUGUUAAGUUGCAAGACGAAAUAGAAAUAUCAUCUGCAAUACUGCCGAACAUUGACGUACCUUAUGCUAUUUUAUGUAAAUAUAUAUGCACAAGUUCACAACAAAUAUUUUUAACAAUUGUGUAUAGUUGCAAGACGAAAUAGAACUAUCAUCUGCAAUACUGCCGAACAUUGACGUACAUUAUGCUAUUUUUUGUAAAUAUAUAUGCACAAGUUGUCAACAACUAUUUUUAACAAUUGUGUUUAGUUGCAAGACGUAAUAGAAAUAUCAUCUGCAAUACUGCCGAACAUUGACGUACAUUAUGCUAUUUUAUGUAAAUAUAUAUGCACAAGUUCACAACAAAUAUAAUUACAUUCUUCAAUGUAA
Molecule: long non-coding RNA, 738 nt
Organism: Xenia sp. Carnegie-2017
Lineage: Eukaryota; Metazoa; Cnidaria; Anthozoa; Malacalcyonacea; Xeniidae
Exons: 2
Source: RefSeq, a predicted model, not a curated record